Long non-coding RNA from Symphalangus syndactylus (siamang), 782 nucleotides. RefSeq lists it as uncharacterized. The record is from RefSeq and is a predicted model, not a curated record. NCBI's taxonomy places the organism in Eukaryota, Metazoa, Chordata, Mammalia, Primates, Hylobatidae.
GGCCGCUACAUCCUGCGUUAAAUUCCAUGGGUUCAAUAAACAAAAUUGCUACAUUCGGGCUUGCCCCCCACCUAAGCCUACAAAGCUUUGGGCCUCAUUCCCAAUGGUUCCCUCAUUCUGAGGCGGGCAGAAAAUCAGGCGAGGUGAGCGGCCAAAUCGGAAUCUUUUAAGGCGCCCCCAGGGGACGCCGGCCACGCCAGGCACAGGAGUUGCUCCUCACAGCGAGUCUGGAGCGGCCUAUACGCGCGGCGCUUCCUCUCCGACCCGAGGCCCAGACCCUCAGCACAGAGGGAGCGGUGAGUCCGGCCAGGGUCGCAUCCCCAUUACUCCUCCUCGCCAGCCUUUUCCCUGAACCCAGGGAUCCCGGGACUCAUCCCUCCGACCAAGGCAUUCACAAUGUGAGCAUCCUGUCCUUGAAGAAGUCCAGAGAAAACAUAGAUGUGAAAGCCCACAACAUGAAAGGAACGAGAAAGCACAUAUCUACUUGUGUAUUUCUUAAAUAUGAAAGAGAAGAAGAAUAGAAGAGUGAGAAGUGGCUCUGAAAAUCAGAAGGCCUAAGACCUAUGACAGAAUGUACAGAUGUGUCUACUUUACCACUUCGAAAAGAAAGAAGUUCUCAAAGUACAUAUUCCACCUCCUGAACAUUGAAAAGAAGUACAGUAUUUUACUCCAUUUGAGCAUAUUUAUAUUCUUAAAGUUUGAGUAAACAAAUGAGAAGUUUAAGUGAAACCAAGGAGAAAGCUAAGGGGAAAAUGGCAAUAAAUUACUUCUGUGUGUGAUAA